GAUGCCCCAUGUUGGUGACUGAGAUGGAUCUGAGAGGCCCAUAUCAUUCUUGGCGUAGAUCCGGAAAAGGCAAUCUCUGAGCAGCAGCCGGCUGUGACUGGGCUCCCUCACGAUUUUAACUCCUCCGCCGUCUUUGAGCUCAGUGCCUUCCUUAAACCAACUGACCACCAAAGACUCCUGAGGAGGAAAGGGCACCUUAAAAGCGGCGUUCUGGCCCACUCUUACAAUCACAGGUUUGGAGAACUUGUGAAGAUCGUCUGGGUCAAAUUCAGGUACCGUCGCAGUCCAUGCUCAUCUUCACCGCUAAUUCAGCUGGAUUUCCACGAAGAGCAUAAAUAUCAGAGAGUCCACAGAUGGUGGACUCAGCGGGCUCGGAAAUCCCCAUGUCAUUCUUAGUGUAGACCCGGAACUUAUACUCCCUUCCCGGCAUGAUGUUGAUGACCGUGAACUUGUUAUUGAAGAGACGGUCUGCCACAGUCUGCCAAUUACGCUUAACAGAAUCAUGCUUGGUGAUCAUGUAGUGCAGCCUGUCGUCUUUCGUCUCAUCUGGAGAGGGAGUCCAGGAGAUCGUCACGGUUCCCGACACGUUCUCCUCCAGCUCCACGGGGCCUGGGGGCUUGGGGUCAUCUACAGAUGACACCUUUCGAGGCGUGAUGAAGACCACAUCAUACAUGCAACUCACCCAACGUGGAGACAUGCACUUACAGAAGGUGAGUCCUUUGUGUAAUUUAAUUUCUUUAUUGCUCGCAUACCUUUGUCGUCUGGUUGAACUCUUCCGAAUCGUCGACUAAACACGCAACGUGUCAGCAGGAGAGGGAACAGGACAGGUAAAUAUUAAUCCUGACAGAAGCACCAUGGCAGGUUGGAACUUUGACAGGAUUAUGGAAACAAUUAACAUGAAACACCACAGUAUACAGUAUAACCCAGGAAUGGGAAGCACAAAAACAGACACAACUUAGGCAGAACAAAUAUCACAACAAAGAAUGGUUAGUCAUAGACAAAAUAUAAUACAGUAUGUUAGCAAUAUGUUAUUAAAGCAGCAUGUAAAUAGUUGUGCUGUGCAACUGCUGAUUAGACUUAACUCGCUCAGGCAUUUUCUUAUUGCUGGCAUCUCAGGAU
This is a long non-coding RNA of Etheostoma cragini (Arkansas darter), 1119 nucleotides long. RefSeq lists it as uncharacterized. Lineage: Eukaryota; Metazoa; Chordata; Actinopteri; Perciformes; Percidae. The record is from RefSeq and is a predicted model, not a curated record. The transcript is spliced from 5 exons.